UUUAAGGCCAGGAACUCUCUCUCAAAGGGAGAAUAGUUGUUUUCAAAUAAUUGGAGGGCCUUGAUCUGAAAUCACUGGGAUUUUUGUGGUGAAUCACCUUUCCUUUCAAAGUCUUCCAGAGACUUCCAACAACAUCCUUAGCUGCCAUUGGAACCUCAGUGGGUAGCCAUUCCAACCUUGAUCUGGAAGUUCCAACCCCCAUUGAGGCUUCGGUAACUGUCACACCUACAAGGCAGGGCCAAGAGAGGACCCUGAAGACCCAAGAUCCAGAUGCUCCAGCUCUCUUGGUGCCUGGACCCUGGAUUCUGGAGGUAGACUGAGCAGAGUUCUCCAGAAAACACUGCCAGACUGCAACACACCUUUCCCAGACCCUGCAACCCACCUAUCCCUUCACUUGUAAGUUAUGCCACUAAAUAAACCUGCCUUUUAACUACA
Peromyscus eremicus (cactus mouse) is the source of this 435-nucleotide long non-coding RNA. RefSeq lists it as uncharacterized. The record is from RefSeq and is a predicted model, not a curated record. NCBI's taxonomy places the organism in Eukaryota, Metazoa, Chordata, Mammalia, Rodentia, Cricetidae. The transcript is spliced from 2 exons.